This 639-nucleotide long non-coding RNA is filed under the name Rattus norvegicus (Norway rat). Its description in RNAcentral is "long non-coding RNA NONRATT033506". The record is from RNAcentral. Lineage: Eukaryota; Metazoa; Chordata; Mammalia; Rodentia; Muridae.
ACGAAGCGUACCCACCGGUGUUUGGUGGAACUCCGGCUGGAGGGUAGUCCUAGACCGGUGAAACACGGCCUGGAGGGUCUGGUGAGCGCGCGCUCAAGCUGCGGUAAGUGACGUUCCCAUUGCUGACCUGGGGAGAAACGGGGCGACUCCGCGGAGGCUCGGCGACCCCCGAAAGGGUGUGGUCGGUGCCCAGGACCCUGUGGAGCCCCCUGGGGUGGCCUGGUGGGACACGGGGGACAAGGGGCCAGUUUAUAACGGGAGUCCAGCGUCCAGGCAUGUUCUCCCCUCCCCCAUAGGAUUUCUGGUGGGAUUCUUUGCCUGCUUUUUCCUUUGAAUCCUCUUACAACUUUCAAUCCCUUCUUUCCUCCCGUUGUUUCCAUUAUGACCCUUCGCAGGCUUCUACAAACCAUUUCGUUGUGUCUAGACUUUUGCCAUGAGGAACUUCAAAGGAGUCAAGUUCGCCACUCUACUUUGCUGCAAGAGAGAGACCCAGGAGUUGCUGCCUGACUUGAAGGAGUUCCUGUCUAGAUCUCGAACUGAUUCAGUCAGCAGCAGAACCGAUGCUGAGAGAAGACAGGUCUGUGACACCAUCCUGAGGGCUUGCACCCAGCAGCUGACUGCCAAGCUUGACGGCCCUGG